This 427-nucleotide ribosomal RNA is filed under the name Aedes japonicus. Its description in RNAcentral is "eukaryotic LSU rRNA". The stretch from base 1 to 87 matches the Rfam family "5.8S ribosomal RNA", at positions 66 to 154 of the family's 154-position model. The record is from RNAcentral. Lineage: Eukaryota; Metazoa; Arthropoda; Insecta; Diptera; Culicidae.
UGUGAACUGCAGGACACAUGAACACCGACAAGUUGAACGCAUAUUGCACAUCGUACAUCAGUACGAUGUACACAUUUUUGAGUGCCUAUAUUUAUCCAUUCAACUAUACGUGUGCGUGCGCGUUUCACUUCGGGUGGACGGGCGCACGGGCCUCUCGGCAGCGUAGUAUAGUAUCGCUCUAUAUCUAUAUCUGCCGGGCACGUAUGCGUAGUGAUGUUUUCCUAGCGCCCGAGCGCGCCGGUAAAACAUUGAAGAUAGUCAGGGCGCGUCUGACCGCUUCCCACGGUUGGCGCGAGUUGAUGAAUACAUCCCAUCAUCCCAUAUCAUGGUGUUGCCAUUGUAUUCCAUCACAACAGCCCACAUAUAACACUCCAGUAGGCCUCAAAUAAUGUGUGACUACCCCCUAAAUUUAAGCAUGGUACCCGCA